This is a long non-coding RNA of Erpetoichthys calabaricus (reedfish), 2353 nucleotides long. RefSeq lists it as uncharacterized. The transcript is spliced from 3 exons. The record is from RefSeq and is a predicted model, not a curated record. NCBI's taxonomy places the organism in Eukaryota, Metazoa, Chordata, Cladistia, Polypteriformes, Polypteridae.
UUUCAAUAUGAACGCGCACGCAGAUCGGGCUGGCAACGGGAAUCAGGUAGUGACACACACCGCAUACGCUAAAUGAAAAAAACGUUAAAAACAUGCUUCGAAAGCUCGACCCAGUGUCGAAACCUCAGAAUCGCACGGCCCAUCACUAGCCAGGGGUCGUGAGAACAAAGUGGACGCUGGGAGGCGUGGAAUGUCGGGCUGCUUCGCCGGGUCGUGAGCUUCGAAGUUUUGGACAGCGUCCUCUCUUCUCGCACUGUUUGUGACACUUCAAGUGCCCCGUCGGCUCCUGGGAGAGUGGAAAUCGUUGGGAAUGAGUUUAAUCGGCGCCAUCGAAGCACGACUCUGUUUGUAAAUUGCCAUACAUGACUACUUACUGUCCUUACUUAAGCGAGAUGAAAGUCAUGUGAUGAAGUCAGGUGCCCCAGCUGUAUCCUGCAGAGUGGAUGAUGGCCGGUCAGAAGCGUCAUAAGUGUCAAAUCCUCUAACGUCAUGAAGAUUGCACCUCUUCCGUCUCAGCCUUCAUUUAAAAACAGUGAUGCCAGGAAGCUGACAUUCAAUUAGAAGCCUGCAAAUGUGAAAAGACAACUCUCUCCAGUAAGCCACCCUUUUCUGUGAAGAUGAUGGACUCACCCAGUCCCUUUAGCCAUUUUUAUCUGGUUUUGUUUCAUGUUCUUUUAUAGGUUUGUCUGUUACACAAAGAUUAAUGAGAAAGCAGGAACACUUGAGUCGGAGAUGGUUGCGCCAUGAGAAUGUGUUUCUUAAACUUCAUUAUUUUUUUUUGUUACAUAUUGAGCUUUUUUGUUUUGAUGAACAUUUUGGACCACUCACCCAGACAUCGAUUUCACCUUCUGAUCCUUUCAUAAACAGACUUUUACUACCUUAUUCCUAUGUAGUACAACCCUAUAUAGAGGAGGAGCAAUCAAUGGGAGAAACCAAAGGAUGAAAUAAAAACAAAAAAGAAACCACCAAAGCCCCUCCAGCAGCAUGGGACUGGUUUCACAUCUCCACAAAAACAGAACCUGAAGCAGACUUUCUGAUUCCCCUUCCCACUUUCUCUCCCAACCUGGGAUCCAGUGGAUUUGUAGUAGGGAUUCUUGAAAUCCAAAAUGGACUGGGAACCUAAUUGGUACUUGAGUUUUGCCCACCACAAUAGACUGUGGCCUCCUUUUCUUGCAUACUCAUGUAAUGUUCCCUACCAAUUUCUAAGUAUUUCAGUAUAUGACUGAUGCUGCCCUGUCCGCUGAUUCUCUCUGAUACGCCUCCACCCUCAUUGUUCUCCUGACGCUCACCAGCUGUGCUUGUUUACUCUGCAGGUGCUGAACUUGAAUGAAAUUUCAUUAAAAAUUUAAAGUUGUGAGUUGUAAUGAAAGGUGUGACAUUUCACCCUGUUUUUAACUGAAGACUAAACAGUCACAAAGUUCUGAUGAAUAGAGAUGUUGGAUAUUGUUUGGUGCUGAGAGCUCCUUCUCUCUCUGCUGCAGUCAAGAAAAUGGCCAGUUUUCUGUGAUUUUAGGCUGGUGAAAUCAGAAGGUUUCAAAGGUAAACCUGGGGGUUGGUGUGCAGAACUGGCACUCCAGCCACCAUUAAAAACCUCCCAGUGUUCCAUUCCAUCUGAACUAUUGUGGUGCUGAGGUGUCACGCGUUGCACGGCUGCACUCGGGUCCUAAUGGAUCCUGAGUUGGUUGGCGUAUGCUCCUAAACACCAAACCCAAACUGAUGCUUGUAAAAUCAGAAGGGUUGAGAGGUAGGCGAAUUGGUCUUCUCCCUAGCUGAAGGUGAAAAGGAAGAUGUCUCCAUGUUACACCCAAAUCUUUCUUCCAGUAAACUCCUGAAAUUCUGCACCACAAGAAGUAAACUUAAUGUAAACAAUGGAAACCAGUGUAGGAUUUAGGUAUGGGUGACAUGGGCAGCCACCCACGGGGGUGCAGGGCACACGUACCAAAAAAUUCAGAAUGAUGAUUACAGCCUGAGCAGGUCAGUCUAUUAGGGGUACUGUUCACAAAAUGUAAGGGGCGCUCACUCCAGUUACGAAACACCAAAUGGUGCGUGCUCUAUAAAGUCUGCAUUGUGUUCACAGAGGGGCGCGAUAUUAUGUAAUUGAAAAGGGCAUGGGCUCCGGAUACCGAGGGGCACCUGGGUCAUCGAAGUCAAGUAAUGCUGUUUACACACCGUCACUUCAGGGGAAAUGUUUAGGAAAGCCAGGAGACAUGUGCUUUGUAAAUUUUGCAGUAUGUACACAGAAGGGCACCAUUUAUAUAAAUGAAGGGCUGCACACUCUGGACACAAGGGGCACUGCCAAAUCCCAUACCCCCUUCCACUCCCACACCUGGGGUUCCAAGUGGUCUUCGACUGG